This 253-nucleotide ribosomal RNA is filed under the name uncultured bacterium. Its description in RNAcentral is "partial 16S ribosomal RNA". It matches the Rfam family "Bacterial small subunit ribosomal RNA", at positions 524 to 776 of the family's 1533-position model. The record is from RNAcentral.
UACGAAGGGGGCUAGCGUUGUUCGGAAUUACUGGGCGUAAAGCGCACGUAGGCGGAUAUUUAAGUCAGGGGUGAAAUCCCAGAGCUCAACUCUGGAACUGCCUUUGAUACUGGGUAUCUUGAGUAUGGAAGAGGUAAGUGGAAUUGCGAGUGUAGAGGUGAAAUUCGUAGAUAUUCGCAGGAACACCAGUGGCGAAGGCGGGUUGCUGGGCUGAUACUGACGCUGAGGCGCGAAAGCCAGGGGAGCGAACGGG